GGGUUAUUAGCUCAGAUGGCGAGAGCAUCUGCCUUACAAGCAGAGGGUCGUAGGUUCGAGUCCUACAUAACCCACCA
Molecule: transfer RNA, 77 nt
Filed under: Candidatus Altimarinota bacterium
Lineage: Bacteria; Candidatus Altimarinota
Description: tRNA-Val
Rfam family: tRNA
About the family: Transfer RNA (tRNA) molecules are approximately 80 nucleotides in length. Their secondary structure includes four short double-helical elements and three loops (D, anti-codon, and T loops).
Source: RNAcentral